GCCCUGGCCGGUGGCUCAGUGGUUAGAGCGUCGGCCUGCGGACCGCAGGGUCCCGGGUUCGAUUCCCGGUCGGGGCU
Molecule: non-coding RNA, 77 nt
Organism: Myotis daubentonii (Daubenton's bat)
Lineage: Eukaryota; Metazoa; Chordata; Mammalia; Chiroptera; Vespertilionidae
Source: the annotation of a RefSeq genome assembly